This is a long non-coding RNA of Astyanax mexicanus (Mexican tetra), 661 nucleotides long. RefSeq lists it as uncharacterized. The transcript is spliced from 3 exons. The record is from RefSeq and is a predicted model, not a curated record. Lineage: Eukaryota; Metazoa; Chordata; Actinopteri; Characiformes; Acestrorhamphidae.
CUCUCUGUUCAGCUGUGUGAGGGUGUUUCAGUCAGAGACGCGGAGCUGGAUUUGUUGUGGGUUUUAAAGGCCUCGGGUUUCUGUGGAGCUGAGAGACUGUUAAGAAGUAGUUUGAUGUGGGUUCACUGUGGAUCUCUACCUCACUCUGCCUCACUCUACCUCCAGCUUUUUACAUCACAUGAGCACAGUCUGCAUUGUGAGGAGCCUCCUCUGUUGCUGCAGGUUGAUGAGGUGUAAAAGGAGACCAGACCCUCUGUCUCAUUGUGGUGGAUCAUCUCUACAAGGCUAAGAAAGGUAGGAACUCUUGGGUUAAAACAUUUAUUUCAACAAAAUUUUUUUUUUAGACAGAAAUUAAUUGGUUCUAACUCCAGUGGGAUUAGUGUACCCAUGUUUUAUGGUAGGAUUGAGCCAAAUCAGCUGAUUUAUUCUAAUGCAGUUGAUUAUUUUAGUGUGAAACUGUAUUAAAGAAAUGUUGAAUAAUAAUGACAACUCAUAAAAGCAUAUUAAUGAGAUAAUGGCAAAAAAAUCUGUUUCAAAACUCCAAUAAACUCUAAUAAAUUUAACUUAAGCUUAAAACAGUAGUAAAACACAGUGUCAAACAAAACAAGAUUUUAAAUUAUAGUAAUUCUACAGAAACAAUAACACCAGUAUAAAGACAGUU